UACAGAGGGGGCAAGCGUUGUUCGGAAUUACUGGGCGUAAAGGGCGCGUAGGCGGCCCGCUAAGUCGAACGUGAAAUCCCCGAGCUCAACUCGGGAACUGCGUCCGAUACUGGCGGGCUUGAAUCCGGGAGAGGGGAUGCGGAAUUCCAGGUGUAGCGGUGAAAUGCGUAGAUAUCUGGAGGAACACCGGUGGCGAAGGCGGCAUCCUGGACCGGCAUUGACGCUGAGGCGCGAAAGCUAGGGGAGCAAACGGG
Molecule: ribosomal RNA, 254 nt
Filed under: uncultured bacterium
Lineage: Bacteria
Description: partial 16S ribosomal RNA
Rfam family: Bacterial small subunit ribosomal RNA
Source: RNAcentral